This is a regulatory RNA element of Roseburia sp. CAG:45, 166 nucleotides long. Lineage: Bacteria; Bacillati; Bacillota; Clostridia; Lachnospirales; Lachnospiraceae. The record is from Rfam.
UGAUGAAAGCUGUAAGCGGCACUUGGAAUUUCAGUGGGCACCAGGCAACGCUGGCACAUGGAUGUGACAGCGAGGCGCAACCUGAACAUGGAUGUGAAUUUGCGCCGGUUGCCGGGAAAAACAAUAUCUUAAUUAAAAUUCUUAGUGCCGCUUACAACUUUUAUGU